AUCCAGCUGACGAAUUUAAAAUAGAACGAAACGCGCGUCCUGGAU
Schistosoma mattheei is the source of this 45-nucleotide non-coding RNA. Lineage: Eukaryota; Metazoa; Platyhelminthes; Trematoda; Strigeidida; Schistosomatidae. The record is from Rfam.